RNAcentral lists this unclassified non-coding RNA (413 nucleotides) under soil metagenome. Its description in RNAcentral is "partial contains 5.8S ribosomal RNA, internal transcribed spacer 2, and large subunit ribosomal RNA". The stretch from base 1 to 120 matches the Rfam family "5.8S ribosomal RNA", at positions 35 to 154 of the family's 154-position model. The record is from RNAcentral.
GAUGAAGAACGUAGCGAAAUGCGAUAAGUAAUGUGAAUUGCAGAAUUCAGUGAAUCAUCGAAUCUUUGAACGCACCUUGCGCUCUUUGGUAUUCCGAAGAGCAUGCCUGUUUGAGUGUCAUGAAAAUAUCAACCUUGACUUGGGUUUUGUGCUCUAGUCUCGGCUUGGAAUUGGGUGCUUGCCGCUUUUACGAGCGGCUCACCUUAAAUGUAUUAGCUGGAUCUGUCUUUGAGACUUGGUUUGACUUGGCGUAAUAAGUAUUUCGCUAAGGACAUUCUUCGGAGUGGCCUCGUUUCUAGGACGCUUGUCCGCUUUCCAAUACAAGUUCCACCUCGUGGACAUGUCUUUUUAUUAUCUGGCCUCAAAUCAGGUAGGACUACCCGCUGAACUUAAGCAUAUCAAUAAGCGGAGGA